AGAGUUUGAUCCUGGCUCAGGACGAACGCUGGCGGCGUGCUUAACACAUGCAAGUCGAACGAGAAGAGAUGAGAAGCUUGCUUCUUAUCGAUUCGAGUGGCAAACGGGUGAGUAACGCGUAAGCAACCUGCCCUCUAGAUGGGGACAACAGCUGGAAACGGCUGCUAAUACCGAAUACGUUCUUUCUGUCGCAUGGCAGAAGGAAGAAAGGGAGGCUCUUCGGAGCUUUCGCUGGAGGAGGGGCUUGCGUCUGAUUAGCUAGUUGGAGGGGUAACGGCCCACCAAGGCGACGAUCAGUAGCCGGUCUGAGAGGAUGAACGGCCACAUUGGGACUGAGACACGGCCCAGACUCCUACGGGAGGCAGCAGUGGGGAAUCUUCCGCAAUGGACGAAAGUCUGACGGAGCAACGCCGCGUGAACGAUGACGGCCUUCGGGUUGUAAAGUUCUGUUAUACGGGACGAAUGGUACGACGGUCAAUACCCGUCGUAAGUGACGGUACCGUAAGAGAAAGCCACGGCUAACUACGUGCCAGCAGCCGCGGUAAUACGUAGGUGGCAAGCGUUGUCCGGAAUUAUUGGGCGUAAAGGGCGCGCANGCGGCGUCGUAAGUCGGUCUUAAAAGUGCGGGGCUUAACCCCGUGAGGGGACCGAAACUGCGAUGCUAGAGUAUCGGAGAGGAAAGCGGAAUUCCUAGUGUAGCGGUGAAAUGCGUAGAUAUAGGAGGAACACCAGUGGCGAA
This 739-nucleotide ribosomal RNA is filed under the name uncultured bacterium. Its description in RNAcentral is "bacterial SSU rRNA". It matches the Rfam family "Bacterial small subunit ribosomal RNA", at positions 8 to 719 of the family's 1533-position model. The record is from RNAcentral.